GGGGGGGUGUGGGCGGGGCCGUGGGGCAGGGCUCAGGUCCCGCUGUGGGGAAUGGCAUCCAAGAAGCGUCCCCCCCCCCAAUGCCAGGGGAGGGACAGGUGUGCAGGCAUCCCCCCACAAAUCCCGUCCUGAGGGAGAGGAUGUGCCCUUCAGCACUGGGCAGAGGCAGGGAGCAGAUCUGAGGCCCACGAUCUCGCCGGGACCCCCCAGAGCGCCACUGUUCUCCAGCGGCCUGCACCUUCCUAUACUUUUCUUCCAUCCUCUUGCCUCAAAAGACCAGCACCCUCGGCAGCCCGGAGGUUGGGGACGGCAAGCGUGAAGAUGUCCGAUGUCUGUGCCCCCUCUCCUCCUUACCAGCAGAACUCCAGUUUCGUCCAAGGUGGCGGUUUUCCCGGCUGAAACACUGACCCCUCCGCCCUCCUUCCCAGCUGACGUGCAUGAAGCAAUCGGUCCCCAACGAUGAGACUCGAAGGAAAGUCGCCCGGGGGGUGGUAGGAGGGGCACACACCAGGGGCGCCCACGCUGUGGCCUCUUGCCUUUUCUCUCUCCUCCGUCCUUCUGCCGGAGACACAAGUGCGGUCCUCCAAGGCACAACAGCCAUCUUGCACCACGAAGGAGACAGCUCCAGGCCACUGGUGGCGGCGAUGGCGCGGGAAAGCCAGGAGGAGCCUGGGUCCGCGGUGGGUCAUGCUGUCCUAGCGGACGAAGUGGGCAAUGCUGUUAGACCCAUUGCACAGAGCAGCAAACUGAGGCUUGUCAGGUUAAUAAACUACCCAAGAUCUUGCAGAUCUUAGAUGACAGAGCCUGCUGCGGGCUGAACUGUGCGCUCUCCGAAUUCAGACAUGGAAACCCCCGCCCUCCUAGUACCUUUGACUGGGAGCGCGUUUGGAAAUAAGAUCAAAUGAGGUCGCUGGGGUGGGCCGGUCUCCUCAGCCCAUCAGUACCCCGUGCUGUGGUUGGACAAGCCCUCGUGGCUCGGACUACGAUUGCAAGAUGUCUUUGGGCAGCGCUCAUCGGAAAACUUGGAAAUAAAGGUUUAUUGCUUACA
This is a long non-coding RNA of Mustela lutreola (European mink), 1048 nucleotides long. RefSeq lists it as uncharacterized. The record is from RefSeq and is a predicted model, not a curated record. The transcript has 2 exons. Lineage: Eukaryota; Metazoa; Chordata; Mammalia; Carnivora; Mustelidae.